AGUUAUUGGUGUAAAAUGAACCAGUUUCUUCCCCACUUUUUACUGGUAAAACGGCAUAACUUGGUUUCAAAAACUCCCCGAGAGUGCAGCUUAUGUCACUAUUGCAUCUUUGAAAACCUGUUUGAGGGUUAGUAGCAACAUUGUCACAACUCAGUCAUGAGUCAUUCGUUGGAGAGUGGAGAUUACAAAGUUUUCGUGAAGUCUGUCAUAAUUAUACUUACACCGUUAUUGCUUUAAAGAGUGUUAUGGAAGAUCGGAUCCAUAAUACAAAUAAUCAGAAUUUGAUUACAAGUCGUGGGGCAAAAAUCCUGGGUCUGGCCCAGGAGGCAACCAUUGAACUGGAAAGCAACUGUACCUUACCAGUGGAUACUGGAUAACAUACCAGAGACCAAUCUGAACAUGAAGAAAUUACUGAAAAUGUGGAAAAUGCAGUUCCUAGUGCUAGGUCAUCAUCUUCAUCCAGCUCAUCAUCCUCUUCGUCCUCAUCUAACUCUUCAAGCUCUGGUUCCAGCAGUGACUCUGAAGACUGUGAUGAUCCUAUCAUGGAUAAAACAUACAUUCAGCCAAAGAAUGACAGUGCAUCUGACAGUGAAAAUCAAGAACAAAGUGCCAGUGCAGCUGCUGAUCAUCCUACUACAUCAUCCACUACAUUUGUUGCAGACACAUCCACUACAGUAUUCUCAGAAAUUCAUAAUAACUCAUCUUCGAUUGGGAAAGAUAUUACUAUUUUGACAAGUCCAGUAAAAAAAGGAAGAGAACGUAAGGUGAAUGCUCAACAAUGGCAGAGAAAUCAACAGAAGAAAGCUCGGAAUUCCGGAAAAGAAUACAAAAGGAACACAAAAGAUGAAAAAGUAAGACCAGAAAGAAAAAUUAAACAACCUUGCUCUGAAAAUUGUAGGAUUAAAUGUGCUUCAAAGUUCACAGAAGAGGAACGCUUACAGCUCUUCUCUGAUUACUGGGCCUUGGGUGACCUGUGCAAGCAAAGACAGUAUAUUGCAAAUAGUAUGAAAAAUAUUCAACCAAGAUAUCAGUAUGUACGUGUUGAUGGUACCAGACCUCGAUGACAAAACAAUAAUGCUCUCUAUUUCUGACUUAAUGGGAAAGAUAUCAGAGUGUGGAAGGAAUUUUUCAAAAACACACUGGACAUAAAUGAUCGACCUAUUCGCACUGUUCUUGAAAAACGUGAUAAGGUAGCGAAUAUUCUAAUGGAAGAGGAAAAACGAGGCAAACAUGGGAACCAGGCAACAGUUGACAUGAGUGUGAGAGAAGGAAUGCGAAAUUUCAUUGAAACCAUCCCAAAAAUCGAAAGUCAUUAUACACGUGCAAACACCUCAAAACAUUUCAUUGAUGGCAGCAAAACAAUUGCAGAGCUUCACAAAGACUACUUGAGUUAUUGCAAAGAAAAUAAUCUCCCUCAUGGAAAUGAUGUACUGUUUUAUCGGGUUUUUACCAAUGAGUUUAAUAUUUCUUCCUUUGUUCCGAAAAAGGAUCAAUGCGAUCUAUGCUUCACCCACACAAAUGCUAAGGAGGAAGAAAAAGAAGUAUUGAAAGAGAAAUAUGAUAAUCAUGUGAAUGAAAAGGAAUUAUCCCGGACAGAGAAGAAAAAUGAUAAAGAAAAGAUGGAUGAUAAUACAGUUGUUGCAGUCUACGAUCUACAAGCAGUAAUGCAGUUGCCAAAAGGGGAAGUGUCUGUUUUUUAUUACAAAUCGAAGCUGAACAUAUUGAACUUCAAAUUUAUGAUUUGAAAGAAAAUUUGUGUGAGUGUUAUGUAUGGGAUGAAUCGAACGGGAAUAGAGGAGUGAAUGAAUUGGGAACUUGCAUUCUUAAAUACUUGAGAGAGAAAACCGUCGGUGGUGAAAAAGACAUCAUAUUUUACUCAGACAAUUGCGCAGGGCAACAGAAAAAUAAGUUCAUGAUAGCAUUGUAUUCUUAUGCUGUCCAGUUUCUGAAUAUUAGAAGUAUAACACACAAAUACCUCAUCAAGGGGUACACGCAGAACGAGGGAGACUCGGCCCACUCUCUGAUCGAGAGACAGGUGAAAGACAAUUGAAAAGUGGACCGAUGUGGACUCCAGAAGCUUUCAUUUCUGCCAUCGAAAUGGCUAGAAAGAAAGGUGAACCAUUCCAUGUAAACGAGUUGUUGUUUGAUGAUUUCUACGAUCUCAAAAGAUUACAGAGUGAUAUUGGUCCAGUGAUCUGUGAAGACAACUGAAAUCAAAAUCCUGAAGGUUGUAAAGGAAUCUCCGAACUUGCUAUAUUACAAAACUUCAUACUCAGAUGCUGAUUUUCUGAGGCAGUGAUAAUAAAAAGAAGAAGAAAACAAAUGAAAUCGAAUUACACCCUGCUUUCUCAGCUAGACCUGGCAUUUCUGAGAAGAAGAAAAGUGAUCUCAUGGACUUGGUGCAAAAGAAUUUGAUACCAAAAUUCUAUAAGGGGUAGAGUGACACUGUGAAUCUCCAUGAAAUUCGACUAAUGAAACAUGAACACUGGAAUUUAAAAAAAUAUUCUUUAUUAUCUCUCAAUUAUUGAAAUUAUUAUUUCUAAUACUGUACUGUAAAAUAAAUUUUACAUUCUUUUAAAUUAGGCCUAAGCUUUUCUAACUUUAUGAUUCACUUUGAUGUAGGUGUACUUACUUUCCAUUAAUACAAUAAUUAUUAGUGAAUUUCAUCUUAUGCUGCUAUAGUCUGGUCGUGCAAAGAUGACCCUCCAGCAUGAUGGAAAAAUGGCGUUAUCUCGAUCAAUAUAGGCUGAAAAUUAUAGAAAACAUUCUGCUCAAUUUGUACCUUUAUUGACCGAGCUGGAGUUAUUUUCCCAUCUUGCCGGAGGGUUAUCUUUGCGCGACCAGCCUAUAAUAAAUUGUCUUGAUAGGAAAGAAAGAGUUUGAAAUGUAUUCUGUGACAGUAGAAGUAGAUUGACAAUACUCUUCAUUGGCGAACUCUUAUAUUUUUAAUUUAAUUUUUCAAGCUCAGAAUUAUAUGUAAAAUUAAUUUCAAACACAGAACUAAGUUAUGUUAUGUUUUGCUCAUAAUAAUUAUUUACAAGACAAAAUUAUCUUUUGAUGGAAUAAUCAAUUAUAAUUGUCUCAGCUUCUUCGAAAGAUCCUUGUUAACCGUUCUAGAUCAAGUUUAUCUAAGAUUGCAAGUUUUUCAAUAAAUCAUGCCAUUAUUCAUUUUUUUGUGUGAUGAAACUGUUUUUAA
RNAcentral lists this long non-coding RNA (3196 nucleotides) under Nilaparvata lugens (brown planthopper). Its description in RNAcentral is "uncharacterized LOC111063125". Lineage: Eukaryota; Metazoa; Arthropoda; Insecta; Hemiptera; Delphacidae. The record is from RNAcentral.